GACGAACGCUGGCGGUGUGCUUAACACAUGCAAGUCGAACGGAAAGGCCCUGCUUUUGUGGGGUGCUCGAGUGGCGAACGGGUGAGUAACACGUGAGUAACCUGCCCUUGACUUUGGGAUAACUUCAGGAAACUGGGGCUAAUACCGGAUAGGAGCUCCUGCUGCAUGGUGGGGGUUGGAAAGUUUCGGCGGUUGGGGAUGGACUCGCGGCUUAUCAGCUUGUUGGUGGGGUAGUGGCUUACCAAGGCUUUGACGGGUAGCCGGCCUGAGAGGGUGACCGGCCACAUUGGGACUGAGAUACGGCCCAGACUCCUACGGGAGGCAGCAGUGGGGAAUAUUGCACAAUGGGCGGAAGCCUGAUGCAGCAACGCCGCGUGUGGGAUGACGGCCUUCGGGUUGUAAACCGCUUUCGCCUGUGACGAAGCGUGAGUGACGGUAAUGGGUAAAGAAGCACCGGCUAACUACGUG
This 468-nucleotide ribosomal RNA is filed under the name uncultured bacterium. RNAcentral's name for it is "partial 16S ribosomal RNA". It matches the Rfam family "Bacterial small subunit ribosomal RNA", at positions 28 to 507 of the family's 1533-position model. The record is from RNAcentral.